This 566-nucleotide long non-coding RNA is filed under the name Equus asinus (donkey). Its description in RNAcentral is "lncRNA (ENSEASG00005037917.1)". Lineage: Eukaryota; Metazoa; Chordata; Mammalia; Perissodactyla; Equidae. The record is from RNAcentral.
GCUGAAUUGUGUCCCCACAAAAGAUGCUGAAGUCCUAACCUCCAGUACCUGUGAAUAUGACCUUAUUUGAAUAAGGUGUUUGCAGAUGAUCAAGUUGGUCUCCCUCCGCUGGAAUGUAAGCAUCACGGAAGAGAAGACUUUUGUAGAUUUUCUUCAUGGAUUCCUAGCACCCAGAAUCAGUCCUGUCUUUACGCCCGUCAUGCUGUGGGAGGCCCUCUCUGGCCCUCCUCCAGCCCUGCCCCGCCCCACCCGGUGAGGAGUCUGUGCAGUCAAGCGGAUGUGCUUUCUUGAUAUAUUCUGCUUAAGCAACGUGUGAUUUCGAAGACUUCCUGGCUAAAGGUUUCAUCCCUUUAUGCUUUUUAAAUGAAAGUCAUCAUCUCAUCAUUGGGCUCAUUCUCUUGGGUACCUAAUAUUAUCAUCCUCCUCAAGGGUUGCAAGCUCAAAUAGUGACAGGGGCCAAGCAGCCUUUAUGUAGAUGUAGAAGAUUCUGAAAUAAAACAAGGACGGAACUUGACUUUGUGAGGUGCAAGUGUCCAUCUCUCUUCAGGCAGAUUCCACUCCAUAUC